Molecule: ribosomal RNA, 464 nt
Filed under: uncultured bacterium
Lineage: Bacteria
Description: partial 16S ribosomal RNA
Rfam family: Bacterial small subunit ribosomal RNA
Source: RNAcentral
GACGAACGCUGGCGGCGUGCUUAACACAUGCAAGUCGAACGGAAAGGCCCUGCUUGCAGGGUACUCGAGUGGCGAACGGGUGAGUAACACGUGGGUGAUCUGCCCUGCACUUCGGGAUAAGCCUGGGAAACUGGGUCUAAUACCGGAUAGGAGCCAUUUUUAGUGUGAUGGUUGGAAAGUUUUUUUGGUGUAGGAUGAGCUCGCGGCCUAUCAGCUUGUUGGUGGGGUAAUGGCCUACCAAGGCGGCGACGGGUAGCCGGCCUGCGAGGGUGGACGGCCACAUUGGGACUGAGAUACGGCCCAGACUCCUACGGGAGGCAGCGGUGGGGAAUAUUGCACAAUGGGCGGAAGCCUGAUGCAGCGACGCCGCGUGGGGGAUGAGGGCCGUCGGGUUGUAAACGCCUGUCGCUAGGGACGAAGCGUUUGUGACGGUACCUGGAUAAGAAGCACCGGCUAACUACGUG